This 242-nucleotide long non-coding RNA is filed under the name Elaeis guineensis (African oil palm). Its description in RNAcentral is "long non-coding RNA (EGUI_LNC049117)". The record is from RNAcentral. Lineage: Eukaryota; Viridiplantae; Streptophyta; Magnoliopsida; Arecales; Arecaceae.
CUCUGGUAUACAUCGGUCUAUAACCGAUGUCAACUCCUACAUUAUCUACAGCAAUUAAACAUCUUAUGGAGUUUGUCUACAAUCUCUACAACUAAGCCAUAGCUGGCCAUGAUCUUAUAUACAGCUAGCCACACAGCUGGCAGACACAGCUAAGUAUAACCUCACUUCCAGCUCAUAUGUAUAGCUAUACUCUAGCUCAUUUACAGCUGACUAUAACCAUCUAACAAACUCUUCUAAUGGCC